GGAGCAUGUGGUUUAAUUCGAUGCAACGCGAAGAACCUUACCUACUCUUGACAUCCAGAGAACUUUCCAGAGAUGGAUUGGUGCCUUCGGGAACUCUGAGACAGGUGCUGCAUGGCUGUCGUCAGCUCGUGUUGUGAAAUGUUGGGUUAAGUCCCGCAACGAGCGCAACCCUUAUCCUUGUUUGCCAGCGAGUAAUGUCGGGAACUCCAGGGAGACUGCCGGUGAUAAACCGGAGGAAGGUGGGGACGACGUCAAGUCAUCAUGGCCCUUACGAGUAGGGCUACACACGUGCUACAAUGGCGCAUACAGAGGGCGGCCAACUUGCGAAAGUGAGCGAAUCCCAAAAAGUGCGUCGUAGUCCGGAUUGGAGUCUGCAACUCGACUCCAUGAAGUCGGAAUCGCUAGUAAUCGUGGAUCAGAAUGCCACGGUGAAUACGUUCCCGGGCCUUGUACACACCGCCCGUCACACCAUGGGAGUGGGCUGCAAAAGAAGUAGGUAGUUUAACCUUCGGGGGGACGCUUACCACUUUGUGGUUCAUGACUGGGGUGAAGUCGUAACAAGGUAGCGCUAGGGGAACCUGGCGCUGGAUCACCUCCUUA
This 600-nucleotide ribosomal RNA is filed under the name Vibrio alginolyticus 12G01. Its description in RNAcentral is "bacterial SSU rRNA". It matches the Rfam family "Bacterial small subunit ribosomal RNA", at positions 934 to 1533 of the family's 1533-position model. The record is from RNAcentral. Lineage: Bacteria; Pseudomonadati; Pseudomonadota; Gammaproteobacteria; Vibrionales; Vibrionaceae.